RNAcentral lists this unclassified non-coding RNA (329 nucleotides) under soil metagenome. Its description in RNAcentral is "partial contains 5.8S ribosomal RNA, internal transcribed spacer 2, and large subunit ribosomal RNA". The stretch from base 1 to 120 matches the Rfam family "5.8S ribosomal RNA", at positions 35 to 154 of the family's 154-position model. The record is from RNAcentral.
GAUGAAGAACGUAGUGAAAUGCGAUAAGUAGUGUGAAUUGCAGAAUUCAGUGAAUCAUCGAAUCUUUGAACGCACAUUGCGCCCCUUGGUAUGCCGAGGGGCAUGCCUGUUCGAGCGUCAUUUCACCACUCAAGCCUGGCUUGGUGUUGGGCGACGUCCUCUUUGGGGACGCGCCUCGAAACGCUCGGCGGCGUGGCACCGGCUUUAAGCGUAGCAGAAUCUUUCGCUUUGGAAGUCGGGGCCCCGUCUGCCGGAAGACCUGCUCGCAAGGUUGACCUCGGAUCAGGCAGGGAUACCCGCUGAACUUAAGCAUAUCAAUAAGCGGAGGA